Molecule: ribosomal RNA, 709 nt
Filed under: uncultured bacterium
Lineage: Bacteria
Description: bacterial SSU rRNA
Rfam family: Bacterial small subunit ribosomal RNA
Source: RNAcentral
AUAAGCGGGGGAAACCCCGUCUAAUACCGCGUAACGCGGCCUAGGGACAUCCCAAGGCCGCCAAAGGGAGCAAUCCCGGCCACGGAUGGGCAUGCGGCGCAUUAGCUAGUCGGCGGGGUAACGGCCCACCGAGGCGACGAUGCGUAGGGGUUCUGAGAGGAAGGCCCCCCACACUGGUACUGAGACACGGACCAGACUCCUACGGGAGGCAGCAGUGAGGAAUAUUGGUCAAUGGGCGCGAGCCUGAACCAGCCAAGUCGCGUGAGGGAGGACGGCCCUACGGGUUGUAAACCUCUUUUGCCGGGGAGCAACGGGCGUCACGUGUGGCGCCACUGAGAGUACCCGGAGAAAAAGCAUCGGCUAACUCCGUGCCAGCAGCCGCGGUAAUACGGAGGAUGCGAGCGUUAUCCGGAUUUAUUGGGUUUAAAGGGUGCGUAGGCGGAUCGUUAAGUCAGUGGUCAAAUUGAGGGGCUCAACCCCUUCCCGCCAUUGAAACUGGCGAUCUUGAGUGGAAGAGAAGUAUGCGGAAUGCGUGGUGUAGCGGUGAAAUGCAUAGAUAUCACGCAGAACCCCGAUUGCGAAGGCAGCAUGCCGGCUUCCGACUGACGCUGAAGCACGAAAGCGUGGGGAUCGAACAGGAUUAGAUACCCUGGUAGUCCACGCGGUAAACGAUGAGCGCUAGGUGUCCGGGGGGAAUGGCCCCUGGGUG